This 381-nucleotide ribosomal RNA is filed under the name uncultured eukaryote. RNAcentral's name for it is "partial 18S ribosomal RNA". It matches the Rfam family "Eukaryotic small subunit ribosomal RNA", at positions 592 to 976 of the family's 1831-position model. The record is from RNAcentral.
CAAUAGCGUAUAUUAAAGCUGUUGCGGUUAAAAAGCUCGUAGUUGGAUUUCUGUCAAGGACAACUGGUCCGCCCUCCGGGUGAGCACAUAGUUUGGUCUUGGCAUCUUGCUGGAAUCUGUUGCUGCACUUGGCUGUGUGGCGCAGUGGCCAGCACUUUCACUUUGAGGAAAUUGGAGUGUUUCAAGCAGGCACAUGCCUUUGGACACAUUAGCAUGGAAUAAUUAGAUUGGGUUUUAGCUCCAAUUUGUCGGUUUCUGGAGCUGAGGUGAGAAUUAAUGGGGAUUGUUGGGGGCAUCCGAAUUUAGCCGUCAGAGGUGAAAUUCUUGGAUCUGCUAAAGACGGACGACUGCGAAAGCAUUUGCCAAGGAUGUUUUCAUUGA